AGAGUUUGAUCCUGGCUCAGAGCGAACGCUGGCGGCAGGCCUAACACAUGCAAGUCGAGCGGGCACCUUCGGGUGUCAGCGGCAGACGGGUGAGUAACGCGUGGGAACGUACCCUUUGGUUCGGAACAACUCCGGGAAACUGGAGCUAAUACCGGAUACGCCCUUUUGGGGAAAGAUUUAUCGCCGGAGGAUCGGCCCGCGUCUGAUUAGCUAGUUGGUGAGGUAACGGCUCACCAAGGCGACGAUCAGUAGCUGGUCUGAGAGGAUGAUCAGCCACACUGGGACUGAGACACGGCCCAGACUCCUACGGGAGGCAGCAGUGGGGAAUAUUGGACAAUGGGCGCAAGCCUGAUCCAGCCAUGCCGCGUGAGUGAUGAAGGCCUUAGGGUUGUAAAGCUCUUUCACCCACGACGAUAAUGACGGUAGUGGGAGAAGAAGCCCCGGCUAACUUCGUGCCAGCAGCCGCGGUAAUACGAAGGGGGCUAGCGUUGCUCGGAAUCACUGGGCGUAAAGGGCGCGUAGGCGGCCGAUCAAGUCAGGGGUGAAAGCCUGUGGCUCAACCACAGAAUUGCCUUUGAUACUGUUUGGCUCGAGACCGGAAGAGGUUGGUGGAACUGCGAGUGUAGAGGUGAAAUUCGUAGAUAUUGGGAAGAACACCGAUGGCGAAGGCAGCCAUCUGGACCGACACUGACGCUGAGGCGCGAAAGCGUGGGGAGCAAACAGGAUUAGAUACCCCGGUAGUCC
This 744-nucleotide ribosomal RNA is filed under the name uncultured Hyphomicrobiales bacterium. Its description in RNAcentral is "bacterial SSU rRNA". It matches the Rfam family "Bacterial small subunit ribosomal RNA", at positions 8 to 796 of the family's 1533-position model. Lineage: Bacteria; Pseudomonadati; Pseudomonadota; Alphaproteobacteria; Hyphomicrobiales. The record is from RNAcentral.